Molecule: ribosomal RNA, 279 nt
Filed under: uncultured bacterium
Lineage: Bacteria
Description: partial 16S ribosomal RNA
Rfam family: Bacterial small subunit ribosomal RNA
Source: RNAcentral
UGCCAGCCGCCGCGGUAAUACGGAGGGGGUUAGCGUUGUUCGGAAUUACUGGGCGUAAAGCGCACGUAGGCGGAUUAGUAAGUUAGGGGUGAAAUCCCGGGGCUCAACCCCGGAACUGCCUCUAAUACUGCUAGUCUUGAGACCGAGAGAGGUGAGUGGAACUCCGAGUGUAGAGGUGAAAUUCGUAGAUAUUCGGAAGAACACCAGUGGCGAAGGCGGCUAACUGGCUCGGUACUGACGCUGAGAUGCGAAAGCGUGGGGAGCAAACAGGAUUAGAUA